GGCGGCCUCUCCCCCGCCAGCGGCGCAGCUUUGGGGUCCAGCGGUGCGCAGUGAUGGCCAUCGUCAUUAAAGGGAAGGAGACCGGGCGCUGCGUGGCUCUGGGUUAGCAAAGGAGAUGGAGGAGGCGUCGGGGCGUGGGAACGGGCAGCUCACUCAUCCUAGCGUGGAAGGGACGCUACAGCCAGGACGAUGCCGACACGCGUCCCUCCCAGGUUUCCUCGCAUCAAAAGGAAGAGGAAAGAAGGGCUGUUCAUUUAUUAAGCACCUACUGUGUGCUAGGACGCUGUGUGGAGACCAUCUUAGUCGUCACAGAAACCAUGAGGUGGGAUCCUGCAGGUGCCAGAUGGGGAAGGCCCCCCAGAGAAGGGAUUGUGACCUGUCCAAGGACACCCAGCCAGCGAACGGUGCAGCCUCUGACACGAGCCGGUUGCCUGGCCUUGGUCAAGUCACUCCAUUCUCUGGGCCUCAGUUUCCUCAUCUGUCAAAUGAGAUUGACAACAGAACCUACCUCGAAGAAUUGUGAGGAUAAGAAGGGUUCAGACGUGUCAAGUGGUUAGGGCAGUGCCUGGCACAUAGUAGGUGUUCAAUAAAUGCUAGCCUUUGUUACUAUUAUU
Molecule: long non-coding RNA, 614 nt
Filed under: Marmota monax (woodchuck)
Lineage: Eukaryota; Metazoa; Chordata; Mammalia; Rodentia; Sciuridae
Source: RNAcentral